CAAUGGCCUCGUAGCAUCACUGGCCACACCGGCCACCACAGAGGCUACGCAGCUCCGCGACACUCGCUUAGAGAUCCCGAAUUGCUUCCACUCCCACUUCCUCCAAAAACAAAAUAGAAGAAAACAGCCCUGCAUCACAUCACUGUGCAUCUUCGAAACAUCAAAAGACGCCACGGCUCAUUACUCCGGCAAAGGUUCCAUCUACUUUUCGCUACGCAACCUUUCCGGAAGAGUCCCGCUUCCUUCAGCUUUCUUUCCUUCUCGCUCUCUGCAUCUUCUGCGGCAUCGGGGGCGCCACUCGCAUGAUGCACCGAAGACGAGUGUGCGUCAUCCCGGCUUCUUCUACCGCGUGGUAGAGGCGCAGAAGUGACCUGCUUCAUCAAGUCACAGCCGUUCUUUGUGCAGGCCCUGCGACGCAUCCUCGAACUUCUCCCCGGGACGCUCCCUUGCUCACUGCGAAGAAAGAAAGUCACGAGGAGCAGAUAGAAAAAGAGCAGCAUACACGCUUCCUCAAGAGCGAAACCGCUACUGCCGAGGAGGCACGUGAGGCUGCUGAGGUUCGGAACACCUUACGCACAGCAAUCCUUCGGAAGGCUUCAUUCCACUCUGCCGCACACCGAAACCGCACGGCUCACGACCCAACUUCUUUUUUCUAGGGUACAUAUACCGCAG
This 672-nucleotide unclassified non-coding RNA is filed under the name Leishmania donovani. RNAcentral describes it as "gene:unknown". The record is from RNAcentral. Lineage: Eukaryota; Euglenozoa; Kinetoplastea; Trypanosomatida; Trypanosomatidae.